Molecule: ribosomal RNA, 492 nt
Filed under: uncultured bacterium
Lineage: Bacteria
Description: partial 16S ribosomal RNA
Rfam family: Bacterial small subunit ribosomal RNA
Source: RNAcentral
AGUGAACGCUGGCGGUAGGCCUAACACAUGCAAGUCGAACGGCAGCACAGUAAGAGCUUGCUCUUACGGGUGGCGAGUGGCGGACGGGUGAGGAAUACAUCGGAAUCUACUUUUUCGUGGGGGAUAACGUAGGGAAACUUACACUAAUACCGCAUACGACCUACGGGUGAAAGCAGGGGAUCUUCGGACCUUGCGCGAUUGAAUGAGCCGAUGUCGGAUUAGCUAGUUGGCGGGGUAAAGGCCCACCAAGGCGACGAUCCGUAGCUGGUCUGAGAGGAUGAUCGGCCACACUGGAACUGAGACACGGUCCAGGCUCCUACGGGAGGCAGCAGUGUGGUAUAUUGGACAAUGGGCGCAAGCCUGAUCCAGCCAGACCGCGUGGGUUAAGAAGGCCUUCCGGUUGUAAAGCCCUUUUGUUGGGAAAGAAAAGCAGCAGGUUAAUACCCCGCUGUUCUGACGGUACCCAAAGAAUAAGCACCGGCUAACUUCGUG